GUUAUCUGUCGAAGGUAAGGGUGAAAGAUGGAUAUAAUGGCCAUGGAACGCUAUUUUAGGAUUAUUGGUGAAUAGCAAGAAUAUAGUUUUGGUGGUUUGAAAUUGUUUGUCCUCAGUGAUUGGCUUGAUUCUCAUUUUGCGGCAUAAGCGGCUGUUUGGUUACAUUGCAUUUUUUUAUGAUUGUGUAAUUAUUAUGAUUAUGUUCCUCCAAAGUAGGCAUCACAUAUCAAUCUCAAAGGCAGAUCAUCUUCUUUUCAUGCCUAUAAUUUUCUUCAAGAAUAUUAAUAAAAAAUAUUCCAUUUACCCCUGCCUAUCAUAUAUCCCAUGGAGCUGCCAGUGGAAGUAGGCAUGCAAUGUGACCUAGCAUUGGCGAUGUGGUUAAUUAGCUUUAAAGUACUAUGGAAUGCUAAAGGUCAUCAUUUAGAAUGGUUUUCAAAACAUUCCACUAGGAAAUAUUCAUUGAAACCUGAAAAUUACUUACAAAAUGUAAAUGUAUAGCCACGUCUCAAGAGCAUUCAGCCGUCUUCUCAGUAAAUAUAUAAUGAAACAUAAUCUUACCUGACCUAGCCUUACCUACAACCUACAACGUACGGCAUUGGUAAAGCUGGCAUCACUGUCAGCGUAUAUUAGUUUGGUAGGUUGUGGGUAGGUAGGUUGCAGGUCAGUAGGUAAGGUUAGGUUAGGUUAGAUUGUUUUUAAGAUUCCUUUUAUCUACACAUUUACCGGUUAGCGCUGACGGUGACACCAGCUUUACCGAUACCCAACCUACCACCUACAACCUACAACCUAAAACCUACAUUCAAUGGUGGCGGGUGGUGAUAAUUGUUAUACCUAUAUGAUAAUACUGGAGAUAAAUACCAUACAGAUUAGCUGGUAUCCAUGACACACUUUCUUAAGAAGAAGGUCUUCUAUUAAAUCAUGUCUAUUUUAUAGGAAUGAAAUGAUUUUUGUUGUAGUCACAUUCCCUACUCUGACCAUCAUGUCUGAUUAUUUCCAGUUACCACUGACAAUGCCCAAAACAAGAACAACAAAGGCCCAAAGGUGGCUGUUUGGUAGUGCGCAAAGCUGCUGGUGGUGGUGGACGUCUCUGCCCUGACGCGCGGCGUGCGUCUGCUCAGUGUGGAGGUGCCGCUGACAGCGGUGCCGGCCGGACCGGCUGCCUCUCCGGCGGCCGACAUUGAGCGCGGCACGUGUCCGCCGCCGUUCGGGCCGCUGCAGCUGCUGCAGUCGGCGGCGCAGCUGUCCGUCUCCGUGUCGCUGGCCGUGCCGCUGGACCUGCUGCCGCGGCCGGCGCCGGCGCGCUGCGCCUACGGCCGCCUGCUGGCCGUCGUCUCGCAGCGCGGCCUGCAGCGCAGCGGCGUGCUGCAGCUCAUCCAGCAGCUCAACGAGCCGCCCAGCCCGGCGGCGGCCGAGGGCGCCGCGCCGCGCCGGCCCGGCGACGUCAGCACACCUGGCAUCAGCGGCUUCUGCCUGUCCGACCGUCAGCUGCACCUGCUGUUCGCCGAGGGGCGCGCCGACGCCGAGCUGGAACAGACGGCGGCCGCGCCGCGCGCUCUGCCGCGCCGCGACACUCGACUCUGCCACCACUCGGGCCUACUGUUACGCCGUCCGCGCCAUCAGAGAGUGCUUCCGCACGCAGUGGCUGUCGGAAAAUGAACCUGCUUCCCAACGAGGCCGGCCUGCAACAACUGCUGGCCGGCUGUUGGCCGAAAAAAAAACGCCUUCAACCGGAUGUCAGUUGUCAAAUCAACGCGUAUUAAUGCAUUCACUAGGAUGGGCUUACGUAAAGCUGUAGAAUUGCAAAUAUAUAAUGGCACUGUUUUUGA
Molecule: long non-coding RNA, 1826 nt
Organism: Amphibalanus amphitrite
Lineage: Eukaryota; Metazoa; Arthropoda; Thecostraca; Balanomorpha; Balanidae
Exons: 3
Source: RefSeq, a predicted model, not a curated record